GGAUAGAUUACUUUAGGCUGAGUGAGGUGGCUUUUGAGUUCCUACUAGAAGGGUGUGUAGGAUUGUGACUAGAAGAGAGAGGAAGGUCUGGAUGGAGCAACAAGAGUCUGGGCUAUUAACACAGGUUUGAGUCAGGCUGACCGGAGCUGUAAAGCCCUUCUCGUUCUCACUGUGUGUUCUUUUCAGUUCUGUCUUCCUGAGGCUGCUGUUUCUGGGCAUGGCCAGGGGAUCUUCAGACUUUACAAACCAGUUGUGCAGAGCCAGGCAUUUCAAUAAGGAACAAAAUGCUGAGUAACAACAUGAAGUCAGAGUGUUGCUUGCCAAGAGCUGGGAGGCCUGGGUGGUUUCCCAAUCUUAAAGAAGCAGAAGGAUAUUAAAGUGAGCCUCCCAAAGGAAAACGUGGAUCUACUUACCAACGCAGAAAAUGAUACACACGGAUUCGAUUUAGGCACGCUACAUUCAAAUGACUUGGAAGAGCAGGUUCUCUGAGCCAGGAUACUAAAGUCCCUGUUUAGGAAAGAGCCACGUUGUAUGUUUACCCUACCACAAAGAUACAGAAUUCUGGAGGAAAGUGGCUCUGGGAAUUGAACAGUGGCUCAGUGAUGUUGGGGCCACCAAGUCUGCAAUUCUCCCUACCUGUUCUUCAUGGUUGUAAGAUGACUGCUGCAAUUCUCGGCAUCAUGUGCAUGUUAAUGUCAGGAGGAAGAAAGGAAGAGGGAGCACUGGGAUGUUACAUUCAUUUUGUCAGGAAAAGCAAAGCCUUUCCAGACAGCUCCGAAACUUGCUUACCUCUCAUUGGCCAGCACCAUCACUUGACCACUUGUCCACUCCUAGCUGCAAGGAAAGUGGCAAAGUAGAAGGUAUUUGAGAAUGUCUGCUGGGUUAGCCAAAACAAUAGUGACUUCUACACCCAAUUUUCUGGGCACUGCAGAAGUAUCCUUGAGUCCUAUGUGAUCAGAGGGAGAGCAAACCUCAAUAAUGAAACAGAUUCAAUUUCCAUCACCCAGUGAGACACCAUGGGAUUAGAAUAAAUUUUUAAAAAAACAAAUUGAAAAAAAUGCAUUUUUAAAACAACAAAAUCAGAAAGGAUGAAAGGUGAUAUUUCUAGCAUAUCAGUUUGUGGUGGUAAAUUAAUUACCUUAUACAAAGGCCUCAGUGACUUUCUUCUCCUUACCUAACGAAUCAUCUUUAAAAUAAGUAAAAUAAAGAAACAAGAGCAGCAGCAGAUGCUUCCUAAAAAGAAGUUACCAAAUCUGUUCACCACAAACCUGAGAAUUCAACUGUGGACAUUUGGACACCAGCAAUGAACAUGAAACUCAGCUUAUGAGGCAUAUUUGGCUAAAGGUCAAGGUGACUUAAAGUUCAUCAUAGGACAUCUACAAUUUGCAAAGCAGGUGACUGGAUAUGGACUCCUUCCAAGUCUCAUUUAAUUGGAUAAUGCCUACGUUUUAAGUAUCAGAAGUGAGUCUUUCUCUAUUAAAUGAAGUCAGUUCCACUAAAACCUAAAUCUUGUUUGGCAGGCACUCCAUGUUUCUUAAUUUUUAUUCCAUGCUGUAUAUUCUUUUAGACUUGAUUUUCACUUUUUUUUCUUUUUUCCUGUACAUUUAUCUUUGCUGUGAAACAAAGUGCCCUGCUUUGAAGGACAGGUUUGUGGGCUGCUGGUGGUGAGACAACAGCAGUCCUUCCAAGUCUUCCUCCCAUCACUCUGUUAGCUCUCCCUUUGUUUUUAAUUAGCAUUACACCAGUUAAUUCUGUUAUCUCUUAACCCUGGUUCUGCAUCCUCUUCUUCUUUUCUAUUCCUUACUCCGCUCCUGUUUUUUCUUGUUCUGCUUUUCCAAGAAAUGUCUUGUCUCCUCAUCAGUUGACUGUCUUCUCUUUCCAGAGGGACCAUAAAGGUGCCAGCCUAAGGAACACGUAAAACGUGGGAACAGACAAACAAGCUGCUGCCUAUUACAGAGAUAGAUAAUUAACUUUGGACCAUUACAUGCAAUUCAUCAGCUUAUCUUUUUCAAACUUUAUAUAAGAAGUCAUUUCCCAAUGGUAACCACUUGCCAGCUGCAACUUUGACGCAUAUUAUCAGGAUAGGUGAGAUUGAUGGGGGCCCUUUGAACUCUUCCCAGGGAAUUAUCUUUAUAAUGUUACAGUUUUCUCUAUAGCAUGGUCAUAUUGUUAACAUUGGUUAUAAGGUCAUAUGGUUAGUAUGGUUAGUAUUGGUGGCUCACAGCUGUAAUACCAGCACUUUGGGAGGCCAAGGUGGGAGGAUCACUUGAGCCCUGGUGUUCAAAACCAGCUCUGGAAACAUAGCAAGACCUUGUCUCUACAAAAAAAAAUUAAAUAAAUUAAAAGAUUAGCUGGGCAUGGUGGCACAUGCCUGUAGUCCUCACUACUUGGGAAACUAAGGUGGGAGGAUCCUUUGAGCUUGGGAGGUUGAGGCUGCAGUGAGCUGUGGUUGUGCCAUGGCACUCCAGCCUGGGUGACAGAGUGAGAGCCUGUCUCAAAAAAAAAAAAAAAAAAAAAAAAAAGUACCUGUAAGGUCUUUGGGAUUUUGAAGAUGAAAGGUGUUGCAUAAAUUGAAUGAAUUCACUUAGAGAGAUAGAAGGCAACUACAGGGAAUAUUACGUACAUCAUGGAGCGGAAAGCACUAAGGCCUGUGGAAUUAUUCUCAGUGACACGUCGUUGAGGGCAGUGGUCCACAUGUUUUGAACAUGGUUUCUCCCAGGUGAAAAGGAUGAGUAAUUUGUUCUCCUUCACAUGUGUGUAUGUAGGUCUUAUACACAGCAGAUUUGCCACAAAACAAAUGAAGAUUACACUUUGGGCCCCUCUCUCACAUGAGCCCCUUCCAAAGUUCUGUUUGCUAAUUUUACAUUUUGUAAUUUCUUAUUAUUUUUCUUAAAGAAGCCUCCUCCAAUUGCAUAAACUUCAAGCCUCACAAAAUUUGGAUCCAUACCUGAGCCAACAUACAAUACAAUUUUCCAUUUCUAACUUUUAGUUGUACCUAGUGUUUUAUUGGAAAUGAUCAAGUACAUGAGUGGUGUCUUUUUAAAAAAUUUACUUUAUUUGCUUCUCUAGCUUCAUCGUUAGUUAGGCAGUUAAAUCUAACCAUUUGGAGGUAUUUUCAUAUAACCUCCAUUGAGGACAAUUUGGCAAUAGCUUUUAAAAUUAUAAAUAUAUUUGUACAGUUAUAAGCUGCCAUAUCUAUAAAACUAUUUGAUAGACAAAAGUUGAAAACCCUCCAAGAGCUCAUCAAUAAAAGAUUAAAUUAAUUAUGAUACAUCCAUAUGAGCACUGAGCAGCUGUGAAAAAAAUGAGGAAGUAAUUCCUGUGCUGAUAUGGGAAGACUUCCAAGACAUGUUGUUAAGUACAGAAUGGUGUAUACAGUAUGCUAUAUAGUGUGGUAAAAGGUUUAGGGAUAAGCAUUUAUAUUUAUAACUGUUUAUAUUUACAUAAAGUAAUUCUGAAAGGAUACAAAAAAGCUAACAAAAGAGAUUACCUGUGGUAGUGUGGGGCUUGGGGAUUGGAUGGGUGAGAAACAGUAGUGGAAAUGAGAUAUUGUACAGUUUAAGGCAUUAUACACCUAUAAAAACAUGGGAAUGUAUUACCUACUCAAAAAGUGAAAUUAAGAGAGAUACAAGAAACUGUUUGGAUGUUCCUUCCCGUUUCAAUGUAUCUAUAUUUUUUCAGCCCUCAAAGUUAUUAUAAAUGUCAUUAUAAUAACUUCAUAAAGCUUCCCCUAUAAUGAGAAUCUUACCAUUCUCCUAACUCCAAUAGCACUGUAAUCCACCUCUGUUAGGACACAUCACUCUUCAUCAUGUGUGAUUAUUAUUUGCAGAUAUCAUCUUCAAGGCUCUUCUCUAUUUACCACCUGCCAUUCUUGUUCUCACCUCUACAUGACCUUCACAUUUUAUUUCUCUCGGUUUUUUGGACAAGCUACAUUCCCUUCCACAGAGAAGGCUUCCCUGACCCCUUUCACUUGGUUGGAUUACCUUGCUAUUCUUUUCUAUCUUUGUACAUUCCUUUUCAAAAUACUUAUCUCCCUUGUUGUUACCUAUAAUGUCUGUCUUCUUUACUCAAGAGUCUAGACAAAAAGCUCCACGCCAGCCUCGGCUGUGUUUGUAUUGUUUACGUCUGUGUUCCUAGUGCUUAAUAAAAUACCUAGCAAGGGUUAAUAAGUACUUGUUGACUGGAAGGGAAUGACUUCCUUCCCUUACUAGAGAGUGAUUUCCUUACAGGCGAGAUGUGUCAACCUUCUAUAGCCCACAUAAAAUAAAGGACAAUAUCUCCUAUUGGAUAAAAGACAAGAAUUUACAUAUGAGUUUUGUCAUUUACCAUACCAGCUCUGGGAUCUUAACUUUUUAGCCUCUCUGGGCUUCAGAGCUCUCAUCUACAUUAAGUUUUUCAUUCAUUCUGUCAUUCAAUAAAUAUUUAUGGAAUGCUUAGCAUGUGCCACUAGUCUAGCAACUGUGGAUACUGAAGUACGCAAGGCAGAAUAGUACUUGCUAUCUGAAGCACACGGUUUAAUUGGGGUGGGGAAAGAGUUGGUGGGGAGGGUCUCAUUAAACAUAUAAGCCAAAUAAACCAAAAUUACAGGUAGAGUUAAGGCCAUGGCAGAGCAACUGAAGGUGAUGAAUUCAGAGAGGCCAGGAAGGGACCCUCUGAAGCGAUCAUAUCUGAACUGAGUUUUUGAGUCAACUAAAUGAGAUAGUGUCUGUGAAUGUCUUAGAAUCAUGUCUGGCAUGUAAUAAGUGUCAUAAAUGAUAAGUAUUACUAUUUAUAAAAACUUGUCAAAAAAUGAACCAAAAAUACAAGCAGCUUGUCUUUCACAUAUAAAAUACUAUAGUUGCAACAUGUAUAUGUCUUUGUAUAGUGAGAAAGCAUAUUGUAUGUAUAUUAUAUUUCAUUUGAGUAAGUUAUUUUUUAACUGAAGGAAUCUCCUAUUUUGGUUCUGAAAUAGUUAACGUUCCUUUUAAGUAGUCUCAUUUAUACCUUGAGAGUGAUUUAAUUACCCACAGCAUCUGUUUAACAUUGUACUCACAGAGAAAUCACAGAAACGUAUGCAACAUUGGUUGUUCCUAAGUAGAUUCAAUGUUCUCUAAGGUCUCAUUAACCUGUAAGUUCUCACAUGUUUGUUACAUCUGAGCUAAUGAAGAAAUAGCCAGGGGUAAGGAACUGAGAAAGAGACUAUGGCUGUCUCAACACAAACCCAUUCCAGGACUGUAAAAAAUAUCUGACAAGUCAUAUCUUCCCAGUGUGGUAGUAAAAUCACUGGAGUGUAUUGGAUGGUAUAAGCAACUGAAGAGGAUUAAGAAUGGCCUCUGUGGCUGGGCACAGAGGUUCACGCUUGUAAUCUCAGAACAUUGGGAGGCUUAGGUGGGAGAAUCACUUGAACUCAGGAGUCUGAGACCAGCUUGGGCAACAUAGGAAGACCCCCACCUCUACAAAAAAAAAUUAAAAAUUAGCUGGGUCUCGUGGUGCACGUCUGUGGUCCCAGCUACUCAAGAGGCUGAGGUGGGAG
This 5512-nucleotide long non-coding RNA is filed under the name Homo sapiens (human). Its description in RNAcentral is "PREDICTED lncRNA (TCONS_00201626)". Lineage: Eukaryota; Metazoa; Chordata; Mammalia; Primates; Hominidae. The record is from RNAcentral.